Molecule: ribosomal RNA, 406 nt
Filed under: uncultured bacterium
Lineage: Bacteria
Description: partial 16S ribosomal RNA
Rfam family: Bacterial small subunit ribosomal RNA
Source: RNAcentral
AUUGAACGCUGGCGGCAGGCCUAACACAUGCAAGUCGAACGAGUGGCGGACGGGUGAGUAAUGUCUGGGAAACUGCCUGAUGGAGGGGGAUAACUACUGGAAACGGUAGCUAAUACCGCAUACCAUCAGAUGUGCCCAGAUGGGAUUAGCUGGUUGGUGGGGUAACGGCUCACCAAGGCGACGAUCCCUAGCUGGUCUGAGAGGAUGACGAGCCAACCUGGAACGGAUACACGGUCCAGACUCCUACGGGAGGAAGCAGUGGGGAAUAUUGGACAAUGGGCGAAAGCCUGAUGCAGCAAGGCCGCGUGUAUGAAGAAGGCCUUCGGGGUGUAAAGUACUUUCAGCGGGGAGGCGUUACCCGCAGAAGAAGCACCGGCGAACUCCGUGCCAGCAGCCGCGGUAAUUC